CCGGUGUCUUCAUAUUUCAUGUACUGCACAUGCGUAUAUAUAUUACUCGAGUGUGAAACAUGCAGACAAUACUCUACCAAAGCAAGCCAGGAAACAAUCCAUCAACAAGGAAUUAAGACUGAGCUAAGGGAGCUCGCUCCAGUCAUGCUCCAGUGAUUCCCUAUGAUUAAUCAAACAUAUUUUCCCGACGAAAGACCCCCC
This 201-nucleotide long non-coding RNA is filed under the name Mytilus galloprovincialis (Mediterranean mussel). The record is from RNAcentral. Lineage: Eukaryota; Metazoa; Mollusca; Bivalvia; Mytilida; Mytilidae.